GUGCUCACUUGGGCAGCACAUACACUAAAACUGGAAUGACCGAAGAUUAGCAAGGCACCUGCACAUGAAUGACAUAGAAGUUUGUGAAGCGUUCCAUAUAUAC
Small nuclear RNA from Phyllostomus discolor (pale spear-nosed bat), 103 nucleotides. Lineage: Eukaryota; Metazoa; Chordata; Mammalia; Chiroptera; Phyllostomidae. The record is from RefSeq and is a predicted model, not a curated record.